UACAGAGGUCUCAAGCGUUGUUCGGAUUCAUUGGGCGUAAAGGGUGCGUAGGCGGCGCGGUAAGUCGGACGUGAAAUCUCCACGCUCAACGUGGAGGGGCCGUUCGAUACUGUCGUGACUCGAGUCCGGUAGGGGAGUGUGGAAUUCCCGGUGUAGCGGUGAAAUGCGCAGAGAUCGGGAGGAACACCCGUAGCGAAGGCGGCACUCUGGGCCGGUACUGACGCUGAGGAGCGAAAGCGUGGGGAGCAAACAGG
This 254-nucleotide ribosomal RNA is filed under the name uncultured bacterium. RNAcentral describes it as "partial 16S ribosomal RNA". It matches the Rfam family "Bacterial small subunit ribosomal RNA", at positions 524 to 776 of the family's 1533-position model. The record is from RNAcentral.